Molecule: ribosomal RNA, 424 nt
Filed under: Fusobacteriota bacterium
Lineage: Bacteria; Fusobacteriati; Fusobacteriota
Description: Fusobacteria bacterium partial 16S ribosomal RNA
Rfam family: Bacterial small subunit ribosomal RNA
Source: RNAcentral
UGAGGAAUAUUGGUCAAUGGGCGAGAGCCUGAACCAGCCAAGUCGCGUGAAGGAAGACAGUCCUAAGGAUUGUAAACUUCUUUUAUACGGGAAUAACGGGCGAUACGAGUAUUGCAUUGAAUGUACCGUAAGAAUAAGCAUCGGCUAACUCCGUGCCAGCAGCCGCGGUAAUACGGAGGAUGCGAGCGUUAUCCGGAUUUAUUGGGUUUAAAGGGUGCGUAGGUUGUUCGGUAAGUCAGCGGUGAAACCUGAGCGCUCAACGUUCAGCCUGCCGUUGAAACUGCCGGGCUUGAGUUCAGUGGCGGCAGGCGGAAUUCGUGGUGUAGCGGUGAAAUGCAUAGAUAUCAUGACGAACUCCGAUUGCGCAGGCAGCUUACUGUAGCAUAACUGACGCUGAUGCUCGAAAGUGCGGGUAUCAAACAGG